GUAUAAGAGACAGCCUACGGUGGGCAGCAGUGGGGAAUAUUGGACAAUGGGCGCAAGCCUGAUCCAGCCAUGCCGCGUGUGUGAAGAAGGCCUUCGGGUUGUAAAGCACUUUCAGUAGGGAGGAAGGCUUUGGGCUAAUACCCUGGAGUACUUGACGUUACCUACAGAAGAAGCACCGGCUAAUUUCGUGCCAGCAGCCGCGGUAAUACGAAAGGUGCGAGCGUUAAUCGGAAUUACUGGGCGUAAAGCGCGCGUAGGCGGUGUGUUAAGUCGGAUGUGAAAGCCCAGGGCUCAACCUUGGAAUUGCAUCCGAUACUGGCACGCUAGAGUGCAGUAGAGGGAGGUGGAAUUUCCGGUGUAGCGGUGAAAUGCGUAGAGAUCGGAAGGAACACCAGUGGCGAAGGCGGCCUCCUGGACUGACACUGACGCUGAGGUGCGAAAGCGUGGGGAGCAAACAGGAUUAGAUACCCGAGUAGUCGUGGG
Molecule: ribosomal RNA, 483 nt
Filed under: Mycobacterium tuberculosis
Lineage: Bacteria; Bacillati; Actinomycetota; Actinomycetes; Mycobacteriales; Mycobacteriaceae
Description: bacterial SSU rRNA
Rfam family: Bacterial small subunit ribosomal RNA
Source: RNAcentral